GGGGCAUGAGUCACUGCCUGAGCUCUCUCGCCCCCCCUGUGCUUUGGGGUUACUCAAUCCUUCCCAGCAUGGAUGCAGUUGAGAAGCCACCUCCGUAGAUGGGGGUGCAGCUCAGCAGCCUGCAAACUCGGGACCUCAUUGGAGCCCAGGAGGCAGCCCGCAAACCAGCAAACCCGGGAUGGCUCACAGCCCAGGCCCUGCACCAGGUAGCAGACUGGGCGUAAAGAGGACCAUGCUCUCACACAAGCGUCUGCCCGACUUUAAGGCUCGAAGUUCAUCCACAGCAAGACACACGUCCUCAUUAUAUAGCCCACUGCUCAGGACUCGAUGCAUCACAUCCUGAUGGGAGGAAGCCAGGAAUAACAGGACACACCGUACGGUAAACACCCCACUCCUAAGUCCCUGGUCCCACACGCC
Molecule: long non-coding RNA, 417 nt
Organism: Neomonachus schauinslandi (Hawaiian monk seal)
Lineage: Eukaryota; Metazoa; Chordata; Mammalia; Carnivora; Phocidae
Exons: 3
Source: RefSeq, a predicted model, not a curated record